RNAcentral lists this small RNA (1066 nucleotides) under Histoplasma ohiense. RNAcentral's name for it is "hypothetical lncRNA". Lineage: Eukaryota; Fungi; Ascomycota; Eurotiomycetes; Onygenales; Ajellomycetaceae. The record is from RNAcentral.
GCCCAACAGUAGAAAUGGCAAUAACAGCAAACAUAAAGACCCAGUUGCCUCUACAGCGGCUGGACAACUCGAACGAUGACUACAAGAUGUCCAUACCGCCACGUUUCAUAUGCAUCAUGGCGUCUAAAAGCCUUCCAUCUCCUGGCCGUUGAAGCCACUGCCAGCCUGCCUGCGCAACGGAGCUUCAUGACAAGCUCUGGCUGCCAGUUCCCGAAACCAAAUCCUAACCAGAAAAAACGACGUGGGAAUACAAGACGACAAAGAAUUCAGGAGCUCUCAAAACUCGAGACCCUGCGAACCGAACUUUCCGUACUCGCUGAAGAAUUGAAAAGUAAACCACAAGCUACGCAAUCGCCUGGCGCGUCUAUCCCGAGUGAAAGAGAAAACAGCAUAUCAAACCUGUCCAGACAGCCGGAAGACAUACCAGAAACCCAUACGCGAUUUUCAAAUUUCCUCCCCAAAUCCCCCAUUGUUACAAGACUAGAACAAAGGGCGCAAAAGCUAAAACAACGCGCCAACGAACAAGAUAUUGAUCGCCUAAAGUACAACCCAUGGGCACAGCUGUUAGCAAGCCCCGUGCGCAUGUGCGCUGCGACUGGAGCCCGGGUACCAGAAAAACUGCUGGGGAGCUGGGGCCUGGUUCAGCACCCAGAGACACAGAAUCUAUGGCUCAUGCCUGUUGACUUGGUUAAAGAGGAACUUCAGCGAGUGAGCCUGAAGAGUGUGCCAGCGGCAUCAGAGUCAUUCGAUGAUGUUUCCGAGGUGGACCCUGGACUACCAUCUCCACCUCCACGAUCCAGCUUUCCUAGCUUCUACAUGACGAAUGACGAAGAGCUAUUGGGUGCGAUCUCUAAAAUGAAAGGGUCCCAGCCCGGUCGCCUUAUCUCUAACAAUUGGAAAGUUCCCAAGGGACCCUUGCCGCGGAAAAUGCCUUAUGUUUUUCGAAAGGACAUGCCAGAAUUUUUUUUAGCACGGUUGAGGGAGAGGGUCUUGGCAUGGCUGAAGAAGGCGAAGAGGUUACGGCCCUUGGGGGAAAUCUCUGGGGGUUGGACGGUUUUAGACACGA